RNAcentral lists this unclassified non-coding RNA (25 nucleotides) under Mus musculus (house mouse). RNAcentral describes it as "oocyte_clustered_small_RNA766". Lineage: Eukaryota; Metazoa; Chordata; Mammalia; Rodentia; Muridae. The record is from RNAcentral.
UGAUUUGCAGAGUGGUUGUACCAGA